AUGUUGUUGAAGUUAUUGGAGAUCAAGAAAGAGUUGGCCGAGAAGAAGGCAAAAAAAAAGCAAGAAAAGUGGCAAUUGCACAAGGAAGAGGGGCUCCGCAAAGCUGCCAUUAAGGAGAGAAGAGCACGCGCCGCUCAAAACAAAUCCAUGUCCUUGUUGCUCGCCGAAGAGAACAAGAUCAUGUCAAUGAACCGCGAUGACAUGGAUGACCUCACCAAAACAUGGCAUGAUAUGGCAAGGAGAGAAAUCUUGAAGAGGAAAAUGGUCGCGUCGGCCGGUCCGUGUUACAGUUUCGGAGAUGUUUUCUCUGCUCCAUAUGCUGGCAACGUCGAUGAUUUCGGUGCGGGAGUUGGGACAAGCGCCGGAGGUGGUUUCGGUGGUGCCGAUGAACUUUAA
This 396-nucleotide ribosomal RNA is filed under the name Triticum aestivum (bread wheat). RNAcentral describes it as "partial small subunit ribosomal RNA". The record is from RNAcentral. Lineage: Eukaryota; Viridiplantae; Streptophyta; Magnoliopsida; Poales; Poaceae.